RNAcentral lists this ribosomal RNA (402 nucleotides) under uncultured bacterium. Its description in RNAcentral is "bacterial SSU rRNA". It matches the Rfam family "Bacterial small subunit ribosomal RNA", at positions 490 to 890 of the family's 1533-position model. The record is from RNAcentral.
GUCUCGGCUAACUACGUGCCAGCAGCCGCGGUAAAACGUAGGAGGCGAGCGUUAUCCGGAUUCACUGGGCGUAAAGCGUGUGCAGGCGGUUCGGUAAGUUGGGCGUGAAAUCUCCCGGCUUAACUGGGAGAGGUCGUUCAAUACUACCGGACUUGAGAGCAGUAGAGGAAGGUGGAAUUCCCGGUGUAGUGGUGAAAUGCGUAGAUAUCGGGAGGAACACCAGUGGCGAAGGCGAUCUUCUGGACUGUUUCUGACGCUCAUACACGAAAGCUAGGGUAGUAAACGGGAUUAGAGACCCCGGUAAUCCUAGCUGUAAACGAUGUCAACUUGGCGUCGGUGGCUUAAACACUAUCGGUGCCGAAGCAAACGCGAUAAGUUGACCGCCUGGGGACUACGAUCGCA